RNAcentral lists this ribosomal RNA (460 nucleotides) under uncultured bacterium. RNAcentral's name for it is "partial 16S ribosomal RNA". It matches the Rfam family "Bacterial small subunit ribosomal RNA", at positions 338 to 795 of the family's 1533-position model. The record is from RNAcentral.
CCUACGGGUGGCAGCAGUAGGGAAUCUUCCACAAUGGGCGAAAGCCUGAACCAGCCAAGUCGCGUGAGGGAUUAAGGCCCUGCGGGUCGUAAACCUCUUUUGCCGGGGAGCAGAGGUCCGGACGUGUCCGGGCCGGGAGAGUACCCGGAGAAAAAGCAUCGGCUAACUCCGUGCCAGCAGCCGCGGUAAUACGGAGGAUGCGAGCGUUAUCCGGAUUUAUUGGGUUUAAGGGGUGCGUAGGCGGGCAUUUAAGCCGGCGGUCAAAUGUCGGGGCUCAACCCCGGCCUGCCGUCGGAACUGGGUGCCUUGAGUGGGCGAGAAGUAUGCGGAAUGCGUGGUGUAGCGGUGAAAUGCAUAGAUAUCACGCAGAACCCCGAUUGCGAAGGCAGCAUACCGGCGCCCUACUGACGCUGAGGCACGAAAGUGCGGGUAUCGAACAGGAUUAGAUACCCCUGUAGUC